RNAcentral lists this transfer RNA (71 nucleotides) under Occidozyga martensii (round-tongued floating frog). Its description in RNAcentral is "tRNA-Leu". It matches the Rfam family "tRNA". Rfam says of the family: Transfer RNA (tRNA) molecules are approximately 80 nucleotides in length. Their secondary structure includes four short double-helical elements and three loops (D, anti-codon, and T loops). Further hydrogen bonds mediate the characteristic L-shaped molecular structure. tRNAs have two regions of fundamental functional importance: the anti-codon, which is responsible for specific mRNA codon recognition, and the 3' end, to which the tRNAs corresponding amino acid is attached (by aminoacyl-tRNA synthetases). tRNAs cope with the degeneracy of the genetic code in two manners: having more than one tRNA (with a specific anti-codon) for a particular amino acid; and 'wobble' base-pairing, i.e. permitting non-standard base-pairing at the 3rd anti-codon position. Lineage: Eukaryota; Metazoa; Chordata; Amphibia; Anura; Dicroglossidae. RNAcentral also lists the same sequence under 1 other name. The record is from RNAcentral.
GUUUAUGAAGCAUAAAGGCUAUGCAAGAGACCUAAGCUCUCUUUAUAGGGGUUCAAAUCCCCUCAUUAACU